Molecule: ribosomal RNA, 311 nt
Filed under: Staphylococcus aureus
Lineage: Bacteria; Bacillati; Bacillota; Bacilli; Caryophanales; Staphylococcaceae
Description: partial 16S ribosomal RNA
Rfam family: Bacterial small subunit ribosomal RNA
Source: RNAcentral
GCUACAAUGGACAAUACAAAGGGCAGCGAAACCGCGAGGUCAAGCAAAUCCCAUAAAGUUGUUCUCAGUUCGGAUUGUAGUCUGCAACUCGACUACAUGAAGCUGGAAUCGCUAGUAAUCGUAGAUCAGCAUGCUACGGUGAAUACGUUCCCGGGUCUUGUACACACCGCCCGUCACACCACGAGAGUUUGUAACACCCGAAGCCGGUGGAGUAACCUUUUAGGAGCUAGCCGUCGAAGGUGGGACAAAUGAUUGGGGUGAAGUCGUAACAAGGUAGCCGUAUCGGAAGGUGCGGCUGGAUCACCUCCUUU